Styela clava is the source of this 313-nucleotide non-coding RNA. The record is from RefSeq and is a predicted model, not a curated record. Lineage: Eukaryota; Metazoa; Chordata; Ascidiacea; Stolidobranchia; Styelidae.
UGGACAGCAUCCUGUUUCUUGUUUAAAAACAAUAUGGAGCCAUUUUGAAUGUCUAAAACUUGGUACUAGAUAUCCUGAUAAGCUUUCAACAGAUGAACUGCAGCGUUACGAUACACUGACAUUGAGGGAAUUGAUUGCAGAUUUUAAAAGCACUAGAAAACAAGCGGACAGUGCUUCGAAGACACACCAACAAUAUUGCUUCGGGAUGGAAUAUCCUCUUCACUGUACUCUAUAUUAUGGACCUCACCCUGUUGAAUGUUUGGUAACAAUUUGGAUUUCGGAACUUUGUUUACCUGCUGGUAAUAAACAUCCA